Molecule: ribosomal RNA, 253 nt
Filed under: uncultured bacterium
Lineage: Bacteria
Description: partial 16S ribosomal RNA
Rfam family: Bacterial small subunit ribosomal RNA
Source: RNAcentral
UACGGAGGGGGCUAGCGUUGUUCGGAAUUACUGGGCGUAAAGCGCACGUAGGCGGCUUUGCAAGUUAGAGGUGAAAGCCCGGGGCUCAACUCCGGAAUUGCCUUUAAAACUGCAUCGCUAGAAUUGUGGAGAGGUAAGUGGAAUUCCGAGUGUAGAGGUGAAAUUCGUAGAUAUUCGGAAGAACACCAGUGGCGAAGGCGGCGAGCUGGCCUGUACCUGACGCUGAGGCGCGACAGCGUGGGGAGCAAACAGG